GAUUUAGUGGAGAAUAUCUGGCAAAAGUUUAGGCAUGGGUAGAAUAAUUUGGCUUUGAAUAAUUAUGUAUUUUUUUUCUUGAGUAUGCUACUAUGGAAUCCUCAAAUAAUCGUAUGAUCCGCAUGAUAAAUAAAUUGUUUAUUGUCUAUUCUGUUUGUGUAUGUGUGUGCUUAAUUUUUUUUUGCUAGAUUAUCAUAGGACAGUUCUCAUUCCAAUAUGCACGUACAAUAUGUACACAUAUGGACUACAAAGAUAGAUUUCAUUUUAGAUCCUUAC
This 276-nucleotide long non-coding RNA is filed under the name Brachypodium distachyon (stiff brome). RNAcentral describes it as "long non-coding RNA (BDIS_LNC001606)". The record is from RNAcentral. Lineage: Eukaryota; Viridiplantae; Streptophyta; Magnoliopsida; Poales; Poaceae.